RNAcentral lists this ribosomal RNA (64 nucleotides) under Daphnia pulex (common water flea). RNAcentral describes it as "5.8S ribosomal RNA". It matches the Rfam family "5.8S ribosomal RNA", at positions 1 to 64 of the family's 154-position model. From Rfam's summary of the family: 5.8S ribosomal RNA (5.8S rRNA) is a component of the large subunit of the eukaryotic ribosome. It is transcribed by RNA polymerase I as part of the 45S precursor that also contains 18S and 28S rRNA. The record is from Rfam by way of RNAcentral. Lineage: Eukaryota; Metazoa; Arthropoda; Branchiopoda; Diplostraca; Daphniidae.
GACCCUGAACGGUGGAUCACUAGGCUCGUGGAUCGAUGAAGAGCGCAGCAAAGUGCGCUAAUCC